AUACGGAGGAUCCGAGCGUUAUCCGGAUUUAUUGGGUUUAAAGGGUGCGCAGGCGGCCAUUUAAGUCAGCGGUUAAAUCGUGGGGCUCAACCCCAUUCUGCCGUUGAUACUGGGUGGCUUGAUUGCGGUCGAGGUUGGCGGAAUUCGUUGUGUAGCGGUGAAAUGCAUAGAUAUGACGAAGAACACCGAUUGCGUAGGCAGCUGACCAGACCGCAAAUGACGCUCAUGCACGAAAGUGCGGGGAUCGAACAGGAUUAGAUACCCGGGUAGUCCGCACAGUAAACGAUGAAUACUUGUUUUCGGCGAUAUAAUGUCGGAGGCAAAGCGAAAGCGAUAAGUAUUCCACCUGGGGAGUACGCCGGCAACGGUGAAACUCAAAUGAAUUGACGUGG
This 392-nucleotide ribosomal RNA is filed under the name uncultured bacterium. Its description in RNAcentral is "partial 16S ribosomal RNA". It matches the Rfam family "Bacterial small subunit ribosomal RNA", at positions 523 to 918 of the family's 1533-position model. The record is from RNAcentral.